RNAcentral lists this microRNA precursor (144 nucleotides) under Gossypium arboreum. RNAcentral describes it as "MIR7502 microRNA precursor family". It matches the Rfam family "MIR7502 microRNA precursor family". The record is from Rfam by way of RNAcentral. Lineage: Eukaryota; Viridiplantae; Streptophyta; Magnoliopsida; Malvales; Malvaceae.
UAUUAAAAAAUUCAUUUAUGCGUACUGUUAAAAAUUAACGUGGUUGAUAAAAUAAUCAAAUAAUGACAUGUGACAUGUCAAGUAUAUAUCAUGCUGACAUAUAUAGACUAACUUUUAAUAAUAAAAAUGGAUAAUUUUUUAAAA